CAAACGGCUCUUUUCAGAGCCACCCAAAUAUUAAAAAGAGUAACC
This is a non-coding RNA of Ciona savignyi (Pacific transparent sea squirt), 45 nucleotides long. The record is from Rfam. NCBI's taxonomy places the organism in Eukaryota, Metazoa, Chordata, Ascidiacea, Phlebobranchia, Cionidae.